AAGUGAGUGAAUCAUCUUCAUUGUACACGAUCUUUGUUUGAAGUCCCUGUUCUGACAGCACGGCCCGACCGACACUUGACUCAACUCUCUUCAGACGCUGAGCAGCGUUUUGAUAUGCGGGCCGUAACAAAGUUAAAAUGAGAAUCAUCGGACGACAGCGUUAACUAAUGACACGUCUGAGCGAUAUUAUGGAAACACAAGGCAAAUUACUAUAUUCGAAGCUUUUUCACAAGCACAGACAGGUAGAAGUUGCUUUAAACUGCAGUAUUUUGUCGUGGAAGGAAAUUGAGAGGAGCAGAAAACGAAGCUCUGGCAUCAGCAACAGUGCUGAGACAGCACACAGCCACGCUGUUCAGGUGUGUGAAAUAGUGUCUGUCUGCAAGACCGACGAGCAAGAGAACACAAAGACCAGGAGGAGUCGGACCAACGCAGAGCAGCCCUCCCAACUGUAUCCUCAUGCAUUCACAGUUUCCUGCGUUAGAAGAACGAGGCAGCACCGGUGGCGGUGUAGUGAUGUCACUUUCCACUCCGCCAACCAGGGACUCUGCGAGCAGUGGAUCCAAGUUAUCAAUGAGCAACUAUCAUUACUCAGUACGUACUGGUUAAUGAUGCUCUCCAAGUUCAAAGUACAUUACCACAUCUGUUAAUCAGAAUCGGUUUACUAGGCGCCAUAAAUCUGGCUUAGUGAGAACUAGAAUUAGAGUACACGCGUCAUUCAGCUGCACAUUUGUUACGUGAAAGUAGCAGUUUUUGGUAAAGCUAAUUAAUUUUGGGAAUGUUUGGUCCUUGCCAAACUUUCAGUCUUGAAUUUUAAUUUUAAUGGAUUUUAAUGGGUUUAGAAAUUGCUACUUGACAUUUUUCAGAUUGGACUGUCGGAUGUUGUUCACAGGUGUCCUGUGUGAGAAUCAGGCUUUUUAUCUCAAGC
This 925-nucleotide long non-coding RNA is filed under the name Cottoperca gobio. Its description in RNAcentral is "lncRNA (ENSCGOG00000021036.1)". The record is from RNAcentral. Lineage: Eukaryota; Metazoa; Chordata; Actinopteri; Perciformes; Bovichtidae.